AUUGAACGCUGGCGGCAUGCCUUACACAUGCAAGUCGAACGGUAACAGGUCUUCGGAUGCUGACGAGUGGCGAACGGGUGAGUAAUACAUUGGAACGUGCCUAGUAGUGGGGGAUAACUACUCGAAAGAGUGGUUAAUACCGCAUGAGAUCUACGGAUGAAAGCAGGGGAUCGCAAGACCUUGUGCUACUAGAGCGGCCGAUGGCAGAUUAGGUAGUUGGUGGGAUAAAAGCUUACCAAGCCGACGAUCUGUAGCUGGUCUGAGAGGACGAUCAGCCACACUGGGACUGAGAAACGGCCCAGACUCCUACGGGAGGCAGCAGUGGGGAAUUUUGGACAAUGGGCGAAAGCCUGAUCCAGCAAUGCCGCGUGCAGGAUGAAGGCCUUCGGGUUGUAAACUGCUUUUGUACGGAACGAAAAGCCCCGGGUUAAUACCCUGGGGUCAUGACGGUACCGUAAGAAUAAGCACCGGCUAACUACGUGCCAGCAGCCGCGGUAA
RNAcentral lists this ribosomal RNA (498 nucleotides) under uncultured bacterium. RNAcentral describes it as "partial 16S ribosomal RNA". It matches the Rfam family "Bacterial small subunit ribosomal RNA", at positions 30 to 523 of the family's 1533-position model. The record is from RNAcentral.